RNAcentral lists this ribosomal RNA (514 nucleotides) under uncultured ciliate. RNAcentral describes it as "bacterial SSU rRNA". It matches the Rfam family "Eukaryotic small subunit ribosomal RNA", at positions 319 to 814 of the family's 1831-position model. Lineage: Eukaryota; Ciliophora. The record is from RNAcentral.
CUUGAGGGUAUUGGGUUGGACAACCGUGGCAUUCACGGGCUAUCCGGGGAUUAGGGUUCGAUUCCGGAGAGGGAGCCUGAGAAACGGCUACCGCUUCUACGGAAGGCAGCAGGCGCGAAAAUUAUCCAAUCCUGAUUCAGGGAGGUAGUGAAAGAAAUAAUGAACUAUGAUUUAUCCUGGGAUCACAAUGGGCUUGAUUUGCAAACUUUAUUAGCGAGGAACAAUUGGAGGGCAAGUCUGGUGCCAGCAGCCGGGGUAAUUCCAGCUCCAAUAGUGUAUAUUAAUGUUCCUGCAGUUAUUCAAUGCUCGUACUUGGAUUUCUGGGGGCUGAUUCUGGAGGGCGGCUAUGGACGCCCCCGGUUUCUACCAUCAUCGACCUGAUAACGGUGUUCGAGAUUCACUUCUCACCCUUGCAACCUAAGAAAUUUUAACCUUACUAGAUACAUUAGUUCAUCAUCUUUUGAGCAUUUAAAGUGUUUCAAGCAGGCGCACUUUAGAGCACUUUAUCAUGGAA